CAGCCCGGAAUGAUGAUUCACAUUCAUGUCUCUUCUCUGAUAAGUUCUUGAAGAAAAUUAUGUGUAUAUCUGACCAGGCCA
Small nucleolar RNA from Perognathus longimembris pacificus (Pacific pocket mouse), 81 nucleotides. RefSeq annotates it as small nucleolar RNA SNORD111. The transcript has a single exon. NCBI's taxonomy places the organism in Eukaryota, Metazoa, Chordata, Mammalia, Rodentia, Heteromyidae. The record is from RefSeq and is a predicted model, not a curated record.